This 250-nucleotide ribosomal RNA is filed under the name uncultured bacterium. Its description in RNAcentral is "partial 16S ribosomal RNA". It matches the Rfam family "Bacterial small subunit ribosomal RNA", at positions 524 to 773 of the family's 1533-position model. The record is from RNAcentral.
UACGUAGGAUGCAAGCGUUAUCCGGAAUCACUAGGCGUAAAGGGUGCGUAGGCGGGUUAUCAAGUCUCGAGUGAAAUCCAACGGCUUAACCGUUGAACUGCUUGGGAAACUGGUAGCCUAGAGUGAGGGAGAGGCAGAUGGAAUUGGUGGUGUAGGGGUAAAAUCUGUGGAGAUCACCAGGAAUACCCAUUGCGGAGGCGAUCUGCUGGAACUCAACUGACGCUGAGGCACGAAAGCGUGGGGAGCAAAC